Molecule: ribosomal RNA, 567 nt
Filed under: Triticum aestivum (bread wheat)
Lineage: Eukaryota; Viridiplantae; Streptophyta; Magnoliopsida; Poales; Poaceae
Description: partial small subunit ribosomal RNA
Source: RNAcentral
AUGUCAUCUAAGGCUGUGAAAAGGAUAGUGAGAUACUUAAUUCAUACACCAAAUUUUGGCAUUUGGUAUCCUAAGAGGGCCUCUUUCGAUCUUGUCGGCUACUCUGACUCAGAGUAUGCCGGAGACAAGGUUGAUAGAAAGUCCACUUCGGGUACUUGUCAAUUUCUUGGUAGAUCUCUUGUGUCUUGGUCCUCCAAGAAACAAAACUCGGUAUCCUUAUCCACCACCGAAGCUGAAUAUAUUGCCGCUGGUUCAUGUUGUGCUCAAUUACUUUGGAUGACCCAAACUCUUAAAGAUUAUGGGAUAUAUGUGAGACAUGUUCCAUUGCUUUGUGAUAAUGAAAGUGCUAUCAAAAUUGGUCAUAAUCCUGUGCAACAGUCUCGAACUAAGCAUAUUGAAGUUCGUCAUCAUUUCAUUCGAGAUCAUGUUGCUAAGGGUGACAUUGAUCUUAAGCAUGUUCACACCGAAAAGCAAUUAGCAGAUAUAUUCACUAAACCUCUUGAUGAGAAAGUGUUUUGCAGGUUAAGAGGAGAAUUGAACAUCAUUGAUGCUUCAAACUUGGAGUAG